This is an unclassified non-coding RNA of Callithrix jacchus (white-tufted-ear marmoset), 293 nucleotides long. It matches the Rfam family "Metazoan signal recognition particle RNA". Rfam says of the family: The signal recognition particle (SRP) is a universally conserved ribonucleoprotein. It is involved in the co-translational targeting of proteins to membranes. NCBI's taxonomy places the organism in Eukaryota, Metazoa, Chordata, Mammalia, Primates, Cebidae. The record is from Ensembl.
GCCGGGGCAGUGGCACGUGCCUGUAGUCCAAGCUACUCGGGAGGCUGAGGCUGGAGGAUCGCUUGAACCCAGGAGUUCUGGGCUGCAGUGUGCUAUGCCGAUUGCGUGUUCGCACUAAGUUCAGCAUCAAUAUGGUGACCUCCCAGGAGCAGGAGACCACCAGGCUGCCUAAGGAGGGAUGAACCCGCCCAGGUCAGAAACAGAGCAGGUCAAAACUCCUGCGCUGAUCAAUGCUGAUCAAUAGUGGGAUCACUGCAUUCCCUCCUGGGCAACAUAGCGAGUCCCCGUCUCAA